ACGGGUGAGUAAUGUCUGGGGAUCUGCCCGAUAGAGGGGGAUAACCACUGGAAACGGUGGCUAAUACCGCAUAACGUCGCAAGACCAAAGAGGGGGACCUUCGGGCCUCUCACUGUCGGAUGAACCCAGAUGGGAUUAGCUAGUAGGCGGGGUAAUGGCCCACCUAGGCGACGAUCCCUAGCUGGUCUGAGAGGAUGACCAGCCACACUGGAACUGAGACACGGUCCAGACUCCUACGGGAGGCAGCAGUGGGGAAUAUUGCACAAUGGGCGCAAGCCUGAUGCAGCCAUGCCGCGUGUAUGAAGAAGGCCUUCGGGUUGUAAAGUACUUUCAGCGGGGAGGAAGGCGAUGUGGUUAAUAACCGCAUCGAUUGACGUUACCCGCAGAAGAAGCACCGGCUAACUCCGUGCCAGCAGCCGCGGUAAUACGGAGGGUGCAAGCGUUAAUCGGAAUUACUGGGCGUAAAGCGCACGCAGGCGGUCUGUUAAGUCAGAUGUGAAAUCCCCGGGCUUAACCUGGGAACUGCAUUUGAAACUGGCAGGCUUGAGUCUUGUAGAGGGGGGUAGAAUUCCAGGU
This 576-nucleotide ribosomal RNA is filed under the name uncultured bacterium. RNAcentral's name for it is "bacterial SSU rRNA". It matches the Rfam family "Bacterial small subunit ribosomal RNA", at positions 102 to 674 of the family's 1533-position model. The record is from RNAcentral.